CGGAUGACGGGAGCUUGCUCCUUGAUUCAGCGGCGGACGGGUGAGUAAUGCCUAGGAAUCUGCCUGGUAGUGGGGGACAACGUUUCGAAAGGAACGCUAAUACCGCAUACGUCCUACGGGAGAAAGUGGGGGAUCUUCGGACCUCACGCUAUCAGAUGAGCCUAGGUCGGAUUAGCUAGUUGGUGAGGUAAUGGCUCACCAAGGCGACGAUCCGUAACUGGUCUGAGAGGAUGAUCAGUCACACUGGAACUGAGACACGGUCCAGACUCCUACGGGAGGCAGCAGUGGGGAAUAUUGGACAAUGGGCGAAAGCCUGAUCCAGCCAUGCCGCGUGUGUGAAGAAGGUCUUCGGAUUGUAAAGCACUUUAAGUUGGGAGGAAGGGCAGUAAGCUAAUACCUUGCUGUUUUGACGUUACCGACAGAAUAAGCACCGGCUAACUCUGUGCCAGCAGCCGCGGUAAUACAGAGGGUGCAAGCGUUAAUCGGAAUUACUGGGCGUAAAGCGCGCGUAGGUGGUUCGUUAAGUUGGAUGUGAAAGCCCCGGGCUCAACCUGGGAACUGCAUCCAAAACUGGCGAGCUAGAGUACGGUAGAGGGUGGUGGAAUUUCCUGUGUAGCGGUGAAAUGCGUAGAUAUAGGAAGGAACACCAGUGGCGAAGGCGACCACCUGGACUGAUACUGACACUGAGGUG
Molecule: ribosomal RNA, 691 nt
Filed under: Pseudomonas sp.
Lineage: Bacteria; Pseudomonadati; Pseudomonadota; Gammaproteobacteria; Pseudomonadales; Pseudomonadaceae
Description: bacterial SSU rRNA
Rfam family: Bacterial small subunit ribosomal RNA
Source: RNAcentral